Small nuclear RNA from Saimiri boliviensis boliviensis (Bolivian squirrel monkey), 142 nucleotides. Its record names the gene U4. It matches the Rfam family "U4 spliceosomal RNA". Rfam says of the family: U4 small nuclear RNA (U4 snRNA) is a component of the major U2-dependent spliceosome. The structure of U4 snRNA from yeast and human has been reported. U4 snRNA presents a k-turn RNA motif in the 5p-SL related to recognition of Snu13 protein. Lineage: Eukaryota; Metazoa; Chordata; Mammalia; Primates; Cebidae. The record is from Ensembl.
AGCCUUGCGCAGUGGCAACAUCAUAGCCGAUGAGGUUUAUCCCAGGCACGAUUAUUGCUAAUUGAAAACUUUUCCCAAUAUCCCACCAUGACGACUUGCGAUAUAGUCGGGAUUGACAAUUUUUGACAGUUUCUAUAAGGAG